This 9493-nucleotide long non-coding RNA is filed under the name Mytilus galloprovincialis (Mediterranean mussel). Lineage: Eukaryota; Metazoa; Mollusca; Bivalvia; Mytilida; Mytilidae. The record is from RNAcentral.
UAUUGUUCAAUAUACAUCACUGUACAUAAUAUAUUGAUACAUAACCCAAUUUUAGUAGUUCUGAUAUUUCAGGCUGAUCGUUUUGCAAAAUUAUUUGACCGUAUCAACAAAAUGUGACCAUAUUUGCACUUAUGUUUGUUAAUGUCUUUGCCUGCAUUAUCAAUCAGAAGUUUUAUUUUGUAGAAUACAAAUAAAGCAAUAUAGAAAAACAAUGAUUCCCCGCCAAUUUAGAUUGUCAGCACUUCAUCUCUGUAUUCAUAUUAUUGAACCGUCACCACGUUAAAUAGUUCAGAUUGUGUGUAUAUGACGGCAUCAUCCAACUAUGACCUGUCUGAUAUCAUUUGCACUUUCUAAGAAAGUAUACGAAGUUCUCUUUUGAUAAUAAUAUAUUGUUAGUAUAUUAUGUCGAUCGAUUGAUUGAUUGUGUUUGUCGCUAAACGCCAAGUUGGAACUAUUUCAUUCAUGUGCACAGCAAGUAUAUUUUUCGAACAUCAUAUUUCAUUUAUAAUCUGUAAAAAAAAUCUUAGGAAAUGUUUAAAAAUUCACCUUCUGUAUCCAGACUCUACAAUUGUCGUCAACACAUUUUGUCGAAAACAGAAUAUUAAAUACAAGGCGAACAAGGUGAAUUACGAUGAAAUAUCCAUGUAACGCAUAAAGUUAAAUUAAAAAAGAUGCUUUAAAACAUUUGAUACAAAGCAAAGUCGACAAUGCUAGUGAUACCCCAUAAUAUAAAAAAUAUGGUUCCGAUGCUUUGAGUAACCUUUCUAUCCGCCUUUUAUUAAAAUAAAUUCUUUCUUUUAACAUAGUUGUAUGUGAUCACAAGUGUGUAACUGUAUAGCCAUUGAGUAACGUUAUAUAAGAAUAUGAAACACAAAAAAUAUUUUUUCUAAUGUGUAUAAUUUCUAUAACAGUAAACCUUUCAUGAGAUAAACACAAAAAAGUUACGUAAAUUGAACUAAUUUGAUAUGAUAACUGUACUGUAUUGCCUACUUAAUACCAUUGUUGAAUGCUUUUGAAAUUCAGUGUAUCGCCAAAUUUUCGUAAUUCCAAUGCAAAUAAUGCGACGACUGGCAAUAUCUGAUACAUAGAUUUGAAGACACUUUUAUUUAUUGGCAUGAUAUAUGUGACUUUCAUUAAUGACUUCUUCGGUAUGUACUCAAUAGAGUUAUUCUGUUUCAAAAAAGAACUGAUACAAUUUUACUGAAUACUUCCCUUUAUUGGACCUUUAUAUCUAUAUAUGUAACAGGAUGCAUGAUGAGAAAAUUUUAGAAGAAGAUACAUUUUUUUUCUGAAUUUGUUCGAUUCUCUUGUAUUUGAAGUAUAAGGUACAAAUCAAUAUGAAUGAAAAAGGAACUAUAUGGCUAAAAAAUGAUGUGAUCCUUAAUCUUACAUAAACCUUAUAUAACCACAAUAAUAUCGCGAAACAAAACAAAAAGGCAAUAGGCUGAAAAAACUGAUCUACAAAAUAUUAAUAUGAUUAUCCAUUAUUUGUUUUGAAAUUCCUCAUCUUCCAGGAAAAACUAGUAUCGUGUAUUGUUAAAUGGUUUUCUGUUUGAAAACCCUACAAUGCCUUUGACUCUUUAAAAGUAGAAAAGCAUUCAUUUUAUCUUUAUACGUUUUGUGCUGUUGGGUGUUAUUUAUUACAAUUGAUUUAUGUUUACAUUAAUAUACACAUACAUUUUCUAGUUUUAGCAAGACAUCUUUGUUGAAAAUGAGAGGUAUUGGCGUGUUCUAUAAAAAAGUAAAACAACUGUUGUUGACAAAUAAAGGUAAAUAUAUUAAAAUUCCUAGCUUAAAAUAAUUUAGCUUUGAUUAAUACAAUAUUUGCAGACUUUGACCGUACAACUCAGUCAACAGCCAAUAAUUGAUCAACAACAAGGCACGAUCGUAUCAAUUCGGAAAUCGUGUGAUAUAAAUACGUUUGACCAAUCGGAUUAAUCGAGCGGAUAUGUGUUCACUACGUCACGUUUACAUCUUAAGAAAAACAUAAUCUCGUUUUUUUCUUAACCCAAAUGCCGCCGUGUAGUUAAGGUAAUCAUAAAUUCAAUUCAAAUUUCUGACAUAUAUGUCUUAAAAAAUAAUAUUUAUUUGCCAAGGUCAUCAUAACUUUAGGCAUAUAACAGAGGAGCGAAAUAUACCAGAGGGACAGUAAAACUCAUAGAUUGAAAAUAAAUCAACCCCGUCAUGGCUAAAUACUUUUUGGAAAGAGUAUCUUUUAUUCCGAAUGAAUUUAACAAAAGUUAAUUUGCUUAAUAACAUAAAUUAUAAAUCUAUACUUGAAUUCUAUAAACCAUUAAUUAACACUUUGGUAGAAGUAAAAGGAGGUCAAACUAUCACACCAAAAAACAUUCUUGAGGUUAGAAAACUACUUAUAUGGUGAAAUCAUCUCAUCAAAGAAAAUGGGAAAUGUCUGUUUUUUUUUCAAAAUUGGAUUAGUAGUAAUAAUUUGUUCAUCAAUAACAUAAUAGAUGAAAGCGCACACAUCUCAUCAAAAACUGCACUAAAAACAUAAAGAAUAAAUAAUACUGGAUUAGAAAAAUUUCUUUACUUAAGGAUGUUCGCUACUCUGUUAGAAAAUAACAAGCUUUUUGGAAGACUAUUAUGAUUGAAUAAAUAAAUAACUUAAAAAGUAAAAAAAAUGGAGGGUCUGUUGCUCGUUUUCAAGAUGAAUAAGCCAUGAAAUUUGGCGGGAAAUAAUUUCUCUAAAUUUUUCAUAUAUUUAACAUUGACACCUUAUUUGUUUCAAAAACUGUAAAAAAAAUAACAAGAAUUUUAUAAAAUUUUGAGAUAUGGCUUUUUAAACUUUAUGUAAUAAAAUUAUGAAAAAAUUAUAUACUGCUAACGGUUAACGAGCCGGAUAGGUACGGUAUUUGAUGUAUCAACUAACAAAUGUGAAAAUAUCAAUAAAACAUGGAACUGUUAAAAAAAAAAAAAAAAAAAAAAAAAUAAAAUUAUGAAAAAAAAAGUAAGGUUAGUGGGCAAUUUUUUAAUGACAAUACAUGGAUAAACCAGAGGAUUCCGAAAAUCUGGCAAAAAAAUCAAAAUAUGGAGGAGCAAACAUCCUUAACAAUGUUAUACCAAAGCACUGCAAAAUAUUUUAAAACAAGAAAGCUCUUACAAAACUGUUGUCAACAUAAACAAAUCGGUGAAUUUAAAUAUCAUUCUAAAACAUGCAAAUUCACCAGACAUGUGCAACAAAGAAAUAUAUAAUUUCUUACAAAAACAGUUUACAAAUGAUAAACCAACAGUAAUUUUAAUAUGGGAAAUAAUUCUGCAUAAACAAACGUCUACAAAAUUGAAAUCCACAUUCAACUUUAUUUUUAACGACCUUGAAAACAACAAAUUUAAAAUGGUAGAUAGAACAUAAGGCAUUACAAUUUGGCCUGAAAUGAAUUACUUUAUAAAGGGAAAAUAGUACCAAGCAGUUUGUGCUUACAUUUAGCAAGAUGAUGAUUAUAAUCACUUCUUUGCAUAUCAUGUUCAUUAUUGGCAUAAAGUUGACCAGCUAUUAACAUUAUCAAAAGUUGAUAAGCAUAUAUUUAGUCUUGAAAGUUUAGUGACUGACUAUGAAUUGAAUUGAAGAUGAAGUUUAUUUUGAUAUGAACUAUCUAUUAACUAUUUUUUUUCCAUCUAUAAAGCAUAUUACAUGUCUGACAAGAAAGACAAGGUCAUUUAUAUAUCUGAAAUCUUCAAAAACUAAAUUAGGGACAUAAUUAACAAGAAUUGAAAAAAAAAAAAGAAUUGUACUCAAAACAUGGGAAUAUUUCGAAUUUCUAUAAAUGUAAAGCAUGUUCAAGCUGCAACUUAUUUAAUUCAUGACUGCACAGGUGGUAUGCAUCAAAUGAUUUUCCUGAUCAAAUGAUAGUUUAUCGUGUCUAUUAUAGGUACACUGAAUUAGCAUUGUUAUAGGUUUACACAACACAAUGCUUCGAUACUGCAUUCAUGUAUAACUAAAUCACAUGUACUUUCGAUCGCUUUUUGAUCUUUGGUGAGAUCACAAAAAAAUAACAUUUACUGUUACAAAUUAUGUUGUACAUAUAAUGGUUGAAAACAACUGUCUUACCUCAUUUAAGACUUUUUUAACAAUUCAAAGGGAGUAAACUAACAAAAAUUUCGAAACUCCACUGUCCGCUGUCAGUAUCAAAGAUCAUCAUCAAUUUCACGGUUCAGUGAACCUUUAAUGAAAAAAACAAAUACAGUUUAGGUUAAGAAACGUACCUUAUUCCGGUACAAAUUUAUACUCUGUAGAACUGCUCUAAUGUAUUUAAUAUAUAUAACUAACGUUAUAGAUAUACUUUACUAAAUAUUGUUCCCUUGAUAUUCUAUAACUAAUUUAAGGGAUACUUAAUCAUGUUAAUUGAAGCGCUGUAGAUUGAGUAAAUUGUUAACAGCAAAUGUUCAAUAAACUUUGAUUAAUUUAAAACAAAAAAGAUUAAGCAACACGAAACCCAACAAAACUGGGGAUGGCCUCAGAUGCUCUUGAUGGCUUAUUGUAUCAUGCUUCGCACGUGGCAUUCGUCGUUUUGCUUAUGUUAUAACAAACCCGGUUAUCAACAUAUAAACUACACAAAAUAUAAAUAUAUAGCAGUAAAUAGUUUGAAACAGAUUUCAAAAAAUAGAUCUAAUGUGUUGUGCAAGAAAUAUAAAUUGACCCAAAUGACGUAGUUCUCUACGAUUAAUACACUCAUUAAUUCAAUUGUAUACAUUGGUACAUAGGAAGAUGUCUUGUAUAAUAAGGUUCGAUAAAACAAGAUCUAAGUAGGACAUUUUAAAAUGAAAUGUAUCUAAGCCAGAAUGUAACUUUUAUCAACACUACACAGUCUGAUACUUCAUGUUCUUUUUUGAAUUGCAUAGUCUUGGUGGCAGAGUGGUCUACGUAGGUACUACUGUAAUCAAUAGCCAGUAAACAUUGAGGUUGUGAGUUCGAACAUCGCUGUGCGGGUGAACUCGAUUCUAAUCUUAAUUGACUAUGAUUGUCUGGUUUCCCUUCGAAGGUCGGUGGUUUUCUCCGGGCACUCGCUUCCCACUAUAAAUACUGGCGUAGAAAUAGCCAAUAUGAGAUGCUUAAAAUAAUCAAAUAAUCUUUGAAUUGCAUAUAUCGUCUAUUGUAUGUAUGCAUGCCUCUAGUCUUUUAAUGGUAAUUCAUGUCUUAAAAAUAACCGAUAUUGGCCUACAUAAGUUAUACUGUAAAUACAUAUUUUAUACCAUACAUCUUGAACAUCUUGAACAUAUAACGAUACUACUGAAUUGGCUGUCUUAAUCUUGCUUCAGAUUACUACAAUUUACACUACUAUUCCCAAUGAUAAAUUGACAGAUCGACUUCACAAUCUCAUUAAACAGAUUUUUUCUAAAACAAUCACAAUCGUAAUGCCAGUUGUAGCUUUGAUUCUUUUUUAAAUUGAAAACGUUUUAUGAUUAAUUCAAUAUUAGAGUACAUUAUAUAAAUAAAUGUCCUGUGCACAUCAUCAAAAGUAAACUGACAUCAUAUAAUUAAAAUUCAAAUGUUGAUUAUCAGAACUCAUUUGUUUAUGAGUUUGAUUGUUGUUUUAGAUUUCGGAAAAAAUAUGAUCUGGUCAAAAUGUUUCAUAUUCGGUCUAUUAUCAAUUAUAAUUAAUGUAAAAAGUUUCGAGGCUUUAUUGAUUUGGAAAAAAUGGGCAAACAAGUUCAUGGUUAUGAAAGAACAUCAAAACAUCUUUAAUUGCCAUCACGCAAAGUCAAAACCAACAAAACAAACCACCAAACUAAUGAGAUAGUGAUAAACGGAUCGAGUUCAAUAAAUCUCAGAACCUUGUGGUUUUUAUUUUGCAUUAACAAAAAAGUCAGUUGUAGCCAUUAUGUCAUUUAUUUCAUAUUUGUAAAAUAAACAUUAGAUAAGGAAUGUGCCGGGCAUUGUAAUAAAACAUUGAAAGUGAAGUUUUUUGCAUUUUUAUCGUUCCGAUUGAUAAAGUCUUUUCCAUUCAUUGACAUUAUCUCAGAUUGAAUUACGGUAAUCUGAUAACCGCUCGGCAUUCUUUAAUUAGAGAAGGAGGUUGAACACACCAAACGAAUAGACACAAAGUUGACUGAACAAAUACUUACAGCAGUUUAAAAAAACAACAUACAAAAUUUAAAAAUUAGCAACAAAUUCUUCAACAGUCUCCGUUGUUGUUAACAAUUCUAAUGUAAAAAAAAAAUUAUGUUGCUCUAUACGGUUAAGUUAUAACAAUUGAUUGUCAAAUACCUACAUGAAGAUAAGAAGGGUCAAACAUAACUCUAAAACAUAACUAGUAUAACCCAAAAAUUUGACCUAGCAUGAAUCUGUGUAAUUGAAGACAAUUUUUUUUAAACUGGCAUAUACUUUUACCAGUUAAAAAAACACAGAAAUAGAAAACUAAAAUUAAUAAACAAAAUAAACAUCAUGUCCUUAAACAAAUAUUUGUAAUCCAAACUUAAAAUUGUUACAGCUACUACAAGGGAUCAGCGAAUCAUGUUCUAUAUGUGACAACAGACGUAAUACCUAUGUUACAAAUUAGUACAAACUUGCAAAGUAUCUCUUUAUAUUGUAUCAUGAUCAAGUCGACGUGAUUGUUUUUAGGGUAGUUGGAACAUAUCGGUUCUUUGAUUAUCUGUGACACAUAUUUUAAAACAGUCAACCAACUCAUGAAGCGUCCGUAAUAACUUUGGAGAGGUGAAUGUUUUUUUUUUAUCAAAUUCCUUCACUGUAAGAAAUCAUCCUCUAUAAAAGAUAUUGUGCGACACAUCUUUAAGGUAACACGAUACCGAAUGACGUCACGCCACGAAUUAUCGGUCCUGGCGUUAUCGAAUAACGUUCACUCAUACAAGCCAAUGCAGGUUUUGUAAUCACAAAGUGAUUUAAAAAUAAUAAAAAAAAAAAAUCUGGUAACUAUGUGACAUUUUUAACGGUAAUUUUUUUCAGUGGCGAGAGUGUUGAAGCAAUAUAUAACGGUUAACUUAUUUGCUUUAUCGUUUUUCGGCAAUUCUUCUGGUCAUUGUUAACUUAAAAAAAUGUACUACUUUACUUUUAAAUAUUCUGUUUCUUUAACAUUUAAGCAUCGAGGAAUUACAUAGUCUUAAAAGAAGUUUUUAGAACAAGUAUGCAACUUUUAUGUAGAUCUAUAUACAUGUAAGAAAGAACUGUAUGUAUUUCUUUGUGUGGCUAAAUUUACUUUAUAUAUAUAUAUGUACAUUGCCAUUUAAGAUAUAUUUAUCCGAGCUUUAGAAACGCAAUGAAAAGUGAAACUCGCCGAGCUGUACAUUUGUUUAGUAGCGAGUACAAAUACAUUUUACAUUUCAGACAAUGUACAUAAUUUAUAUAUUUUGUUUAUAUCCUACAAUUUACACCCAAAGGUUGACUAGAAAUAGAAAUAUUGUCACUUGGUCUUUCUUCGACCGGGAGUAAAAUGCUUCCAAAGUUGGGCAUCCAUUUGGCUGUGUGCGGGAUGUAUUAUUUAUUGUUAACUUGUUCUCGUCCUGAACAUCCAUAAAAUAGUUGCCACUGGACGUUAAGUAACCAGCAAUCAAUCCUACAAUUCACAACCAUCACUUGAAACUUUAGCUAAUAGAAUUUAGAUCAUAACCCCCUUUUUUUAAAAAAAGAAAUCGACAAAGUUAAUGAACAUUUACGCACAAAAAAUAUCUACGUCACCGCUUGCUCAUUAAGGAAGUGGGGUAACAUGAGACAUUACUUGUAAAAUUACAAAUACAAAUAAAACAAAAAAUAAUAUGGAACAUGUUAUUUGUACAGCAGUUGGUUGUUAAAAUGAUUAAUAGUGAUACGGGACGUGCAAUUAAUAAAUUACUACACAUAAUAAAGGUGCGCAUAUUGUCUGGAUUUUCUUUAUUUUUGGUUCAUGACAGGUUGCUGGAAUAGGCAUUUUGAUAAAAUAUAAAAGGCACGAAGAUUCCAGACUCCGACUUACAUCUUAAAAUAUGUGAUCUCAAGAUUUGUUUUGUAAAUAAUUUUCUACAAAUGACUUUGUGAAAUUUUGCAUAUAUAUACAGUUUGCAAUGUUUGUCUGACUUGCUGGGCAAUCAACUCACAUAUUUACACCAUGCAGAAUACACUAUACUAAUGUACGUAGCAAGUCAAAAAUAUAAGUUUUGAAUUUUCCUUUGAGUUUUGUUAUUUUAUUUUUUAGAAUGUGUAGUUUAUCAGGAUCAAUAUUUUCCCUCAUAAUUUUGACAACUAACAGAAUGUUAAACCUUUUUUGACUGGUGCAUUGAAUAUGUCUUUUAUAAACCACUGUUUUCAAAAUUGUAUUGUAUCGUCCCGACUUACAUGCAUGAACUAUUUGCCAGUGAACGUUAAGCAACCAUCAAAAACCGAGCAAUUAUAAAACUGUUAAAUGAACUUAAUUUUUAAAGUACUCUAUUUCUGCAUGGAUUAAGCAAUGACACUACCAUUGUCUUAAAGGAUGGAUUUAAAAACUCAGUUAUUCAAAUAAAUCACACGUAAAAAAUAUCAUGUUAUUUUCAUGUGAACUUUACAAAAGUAUGGAGGGAAUAACGAUAUUAUUUGAAUAAUCUUAUUUUAGAAAUUUACGUGAAUUUACCAAAUUCCGGUGAUUAAUUCAUGAACUAUUAUCAAAAGAUUCACGUGGAACCAACCAGUUUAAGCAAGUUUCAAGUAUAUGCUCGUUUCGUGUGAAAAUUGUUGUUUAUUAAUGUGAGUGAAAUUUCCAUGUGUAGGACGAAAUAAAUUAUAUCAGUAGAAUUUCAUAAUAUGGCAAUACUAGAAAAUUUACGAAACCCGACAGGGCAAAUGAAAAUAAAAUAACCACCAUUCAGAUCCCGACACAUAUUUUGUUUUCCAUAUCUAGAAUGAAUAACGUUACAUUCUGUAUUCAAUAACGUCACACGUUUUCGGUCAAAUUCUAAGGGUAUCAAUCAACUUUGAAACCAUUUGUCUCAAAAACGAGAAUGGUGACAUAUGAUUUUCUAUACGUGUAUAGAUUCAGUUUGCAAUGCUGAAUACUAUGUUAUUUUUUUUUUUGUUGUUUUCCGUAUAUAAGAACAUAGCCAUCCAUUGGAAAAUCUAUAAAGGUAGGCCGAAAAAUAGGCCUUUCCCCUAUAUACCUAUGUAAAUUAGUCGCCAAAAUUGACGUUUUCCUAUGAAAAUACCAAGAAAACAAAAAUGGUGACCCCUUAUGUUUUAUUACACAUUCCGAUGCAACUCGAUUCAAAGAACACGUGUGCCAAAAUGUUUGGAAAUUGGGAGAUAUGCCAUUCGGUAUCGUGUUACCUUAAGAGUGUCGUGCAUCAUUAAAUUUAAGUUUCUCAAAAACAGGAGUAAAUUGUCUCGAUAAACUAGCAGGAUAAUAGAUAAGAAAACACAUAAGACCGAACUCCAUCGGCUUGAUUCAGAAAUAAAAGCAAAUGUAUUAAAUGAUAUUUUUUUUUAGAUUUGGUUGAACGAUAUGUAGAUCAUAUGACUGUUAUGGCAGUGGCGGGAGUAUGUUACCCGAUCUACACAAUUGUAAGGAUGCAUACGAAG